This 150-nucleotide ribosomal RNA is filed under the name uncultured eukaryote. Its description in RNAcentral is "partial small subunit ribosomal RNA". It matches the Rfam family "Eukaryotic small subunit ribosomal RNA", at positions 1296 to 1461 of the family's 1831-position model. The record is from RNAcentral.
AGUUGGUGGAGUGAUUUGUCUGCUUAAUUGCGUUAACGAACGAGACCUCCGCCUGCUAAAUAGCCCGCCGUUGGGUCUCCCAACGGUCGGAUUCGCUUCUUAGAGGGACUCUCCGUUUUCAGCGGAGGGAAGCUGGAGGCAAUAACAGGU